AGAUCCAAUGAAUGAGAUCGAUUUCAUUUGAUAUCAGUGACGCUAAGUAGCGGCGCUGUAGCGCUAUUGCACCGCGGAAUCGGAACUAAUUGCUAUUAUUCUGCGAUACACUAUUUAGUAAAAUAAUGUGAAAUAACAGCUAUAUCGGCACCAUAACACUGCUGUGCAGCGGAAUUUAAACAAACUGCCAUAUACCCGUUUUGAAUUGACACCACAUACUGUUUGAUCAUGUUACAGACAUUUAGUCCUAUUUCUUAACCUUUUACCUUUACUCAAUAUAUUUCAGAAAAGGAAGCACGACGGAGAUGAUGAUGUUAAUGAUGUGCACAAACACAAAAAGAGUAAGGUAAUAUAAUAAGAAAUGUAAUCUUGUGAUUAGUUUUUUUCUACAUCUUUUCCUUCUCGGCACAUUUCUGGUGUAUGAUUCUUAGUGACCGACAGUGUAUCCUAUCUUUAAUGAACUUUUUUGUUCUACUUUUUAAUAUUUUGCAGCAUAAGAGCUCAAGAAUUGAUGAGUUAGGGGCAAUAAAGGUCGCCGGCUGAAAUAGUUAUUUACUUUUAGUUCACUCUCUUUUCCUCAAUUGGUUGUUGUCAUUUGUGUGUGAAGGAGACUUUUGCCUGACAUUUUCAGAUUUCUUGAGAGUAGCUAGGGGACCUGACUAAAAGAUUAUCAUGAUGGUGAAUUCACCGGAUGAUGGAAAAGGAAGCAGGUAAAAAUAUAUGAUGAAGAUAAAACUAUUCUUGUAUAAUAACAAUUACCUUGUAGAUUUGCUAGUAAACUUUGGUCUUCCUUUUCCCAGUUUUUGGAGCACUGGAUAUAUCUCGACAUUGUUUUGACUUUGAUUUUCUUCUUUUUUAUAUACAUAAAAUAUUCCGUAGUUUACAAUUUA
Long non-coding RNA from Lathyrus oleraceus (garden pea), 890 nucleotides. RefSeq lists it as uncharacterized. The record is from RefSeq and is a predicted model, not a curated record. Lineage: Eukaryota; Viridiplantae; Streptophyta; Magnoliopsida; Fabales; Fabaceae. The transcript has 2 exons.